This 159-nucleotide ribosomal RNA is filed under the name uncultured bacterium. RNAcentral's name for it is "partial 16S ribosomal RNA". It matches the Rfam family "Bacterial small subunit ribosomal RNA", at positions 355 to 505 of the family's 1533-position model. The record is from RNAcentral.
UGGGGAAUUUUGGACAAUGGGGGAAACCCUGAUCCAGCCAUCCCGCGUGUGCGAUGAAGGCCUUCGGGUUGUAAAGCACUUUUGGCAGGGAAGAACCGGCACCGGUAUAAUACCGGGUGUCACUGACGGUACUGCAGAAUAAGCACCGGGCUAACUACG